This 483-nucleotide ribosomal RNA is filed under the name uncultured bacterium. RNAcentral's name for it is "partial 16S ribosomal RNA". It matches the Rfam family "Bacterial small subunit ribosomal RNA", at positions 30 to 507 of the family's 1533-position model. The record is from RNAcentral.
UUGAACGCUGGCGGUAGGCCUAACACCUGCAAGUCGAGCGGAUGAAGGGAGCUUGCUCCUGGAUUCAGCGGCGGACGGGUGAGUAAUGCCUAGGAAUCUGCCUGGUAGUGGGGGAUAACGUCCGGAAACGGGCGCUAAUACCGCAUACGUCCUGAGGGAGAAAGUGGGGGAUCUUCGGACCUCACGCUAUCAGAUGAGCCUAGGUCGGAUUAGCUAGUUGGUGGGGUAAAGGCCUACCAAGGCGACGAUCCGUAACUGGUCUGAGAGGAUGGUCAGUCACACUGGAACUGAGACACGGUCCAGACUCCUACGGGAGGCAGCAGUGGGGAAUAUUGGACAAUGGGCGAAAGCCUGAUCCAGCCAUGCCGCGUGUGUGAAGAAGGUCUUCGGAUUGUAAAGCACUUUAAGUUGGGAGGAAGGGCAGUAAGUUAAUACCUUGCUGUUUUGACGUUACCAACAGAAUAAGCACCGGCUAACUUCGUG